RNAcentral lists this long non-coding RNA (274 nucleotides) under Actinidia chinensis (golden kiwifruit). RNAcentral's name for it is "long non-coding RNA (ACHI_LNC004470)". Lineage: Eukaryota; Viridiplantae; Streptophyta; Magnoliopsida; Ericales; Actinidiaceae. The record is from RNAcentral.
UUUUGCCAAACAUUCUCACAAAUGUAUUAUACUUCAGCAAAUACCAGUGUCUAACAACCUUUUGCAUCACUAGCUAGUAGCUAGUACUUGAACACAACAAUACUAACACUUCCUACAUACAUAUCUCCUUCAGAAACAAUCUAGAACUAUAGAAGGAAGACACUGCUACCAUUAUUUAUGUAGCAACAAACAUAGUUUCUUGUCUAAAGCUCAUAUGUCAUCCCCACCUUGAGCAAGCGCUGCCGAGGAAUAUCAAACAUCUUGUCUGUUUGUC